Molecule: small RNA, 7091 nt
Filed under: Apis mellifera (honey bee)
Lineage: Eukaryota; Metazoa; Arthropoda; Insecta; Hymenoptera; Apidae
Description: kakusei non-coding nuclear RNA (Kakusei)
Source: RNAcentral
GGAGUUCCAUCGGGCUUUAGCCCGACUGCAGUUCGGCCUCGAUCACUGAGACGCGCGAAUUCGAGGCUGGAUCCGUCCUCCUUCACGCUCGUCGUCGUGCCUUGCUCAGAUAAUAACGUUUCGAUCGCAGAAAAAUUCGGCUCGAUUUCAUUCAAGCGUUCGUACGUACAGCCUUUCACGCGUCUCGAAAAAUCGAUCGUAACGAAGCACCGAAGAGUACAUGCCAGUUUCUUAUCAAUGAAAGUAGGAUAAAAAUAUAAAUAAUUCAUCUCGGGGAGAAUAUUGGAAGAUCGAGAAUGAAGUUGAAGGAGAAACGAGAAAAAGAGAAAAAAAAAAGGAAACGAAAAAAAAUUAUUGGAAAAGUUAUGGUAGAACUGAGAAGAAAGUUGUUAAAAAUUGAUUGUUGAUUUCAAGUGUUCGUCGCGCUAAACGGGAUAUGUCGGAAAGUGUCGGCUGUAUGGUGUUUCAUUUGUCGCAGAAUGUCAGUAAGUAGUCAGUAGUGCGUUUUUUUUUUGCCCGCGAGAUAUGAUUUUUCGUUUCUUUUUUCUUUUUCUUUUUCUUCUUCUUUUUUUUCCGACAAGUAAAUAGCCAUAGUUGGUACUUGUUUCCAAGCAAAAUUAAAAUUCUCCUGUCGGAUUCUAUGAUUAAUUCGAAAUUCGUGGAUAUUCGUAUUAAAGUGGAUAUAACGUGGAGAGGACGAGUCGAAUUAUUAUCAGAGAAAUUCUGAACUGAACGUUAUUUCAGUUGUCAUUGCCUUGACAAACGAGCACGUGGUCCGAAUGAAACCCAAACACACACCCACGCAAAAUUCUCGAUAGACAAGACCUCGAUGACUAGAAAAUCACGCAUAGCUUUCGCUUUCACUUGCGAAACCGAGAUAUAUCGCGCGUGUAUUUUUUCGCGAUCUUCCGCGAAAGAAAGAAUUUCCAACAAUUGGAAUCGGAAGAAAAAGAUAUCCAAAUUUCCCAAGAAAUUUUCCAUUCCGUCACAUCGACGUUCGCUCAUUUUUUCUCUCUCUCUCUCUCUCUCUUGACCCCUUUCGCAAACUUCCAACACUUUCUCCCGUUCGAGAAUUUAAAGGUCAUUUUCAUCCGUAAACAUGUCCUUUAAUAGUUUUCUCUUCUUUUUUUUUUUUUUCAAUCUCCAACAUCGAAUAUAGUUCGGUAAAAUGUUUUUUUCAACGCUCGAUUAACCGCAAUUAAUUUUUAAAUAAUUCAUAAAAAAUUCAACGGAUCUGCAAGUAUGACGCAGCUCUAGCAGGUAGCGUCAUUGUCCUAGUUUUCACCCGGUGCAUUCGAUUCAGCAGCGAACCGCUUACCUUUUUCUCUUUUUUUUUUUUUUCGUAACUCGAACGUUUUCGAAAAUCAAAUGUCCAAAGAAAUUUAAAAUUCAUAUCUAGCUUGACGACACGUUAUAAAACAUUUUAAAACAAAAAGGAAGAAAAGUAUACGAUCGAGUAAAGUUCCGAAACGAAAAACUUAAUUUUAAAUUGAAUUUUAACGUUAAAAAUCUUGAUACGAAAUAUCAACGAUCAAUUAUCAGUUAAAAUAGUGAUUAAUCGUGGAGCAAAAGGAUUCAUUUUUUCUUUCUUUUUCUCUUUCUUUCUUUUUUUUUUUUUUUCGGCGUUAAUUGGAUCAAAAAUAUGGCGCACUACUUAUCCUUGUCGUCCUGCACCUUCCUGCAACCCCCUUUGCCCCUCGACAGUCCUGUACCUCGACCCCUCUGUCCCCCACUUUUCCUUGGAAUGCACGUCACCUAGGGGGAGGUGGUGACGUCAGUAGAAUGCGGACACAGGAUUGGCCGUUACCUCGCUGACGUCAUAGAGGCUGACUACAUGAGCUUGCACCCCCUACCCUCCCCGGACUCCUCUCGCUGCUGGCUGCAAUAGGCAUCGAGAAAUGGUGCAUGACAGUUCAAAGCCCCAGUUUUCCAAGGCUGUGCGGACCAAGAGGUCGCCGUACGUUUCACCUUCCUCCUCAACCUGACGUUCCUUCAUUUCCCGCUUUUAUCUCUCCCUCUUUCUUCCUUUCUUUUUCCUCUUCAUCCAAAUCUCUCCAUUUAUACAACUUCCUCCUUUUUUUAUACCGGAUCUCAUAUCGUGACGAAUCACAAGGAUCAUCGAUUUCAUCGGAAACUCCUCCUCGCCAAAUUCAUUUUUAAUUUCCAAACUUCCUCCCAGUUCAAUUUAUCUCUUAUCAUGGAGGAUGGAAAUUUGAUCUCGCGAUAUAUAUCGAAUUUAGUCGAAAGGAGAAGAUCCGAAAAACAAGUGGAUCCGAACAAGUUUCGUUUUAUUUUGAGAAUAAAUACGGGGGAAGAUUCUUUUUCCAGCCAAGUUCCACGCGAUUACUUCCUUUCUUUUUUUUCCCGCGAUUGAUCUCCGCCGAUGUCGAGGGGAGGGGAAGCCAGGAGCCGCGGGUUUACAUGUUUGAUUUUGUGCGACAUCGAGUUUCAUAAAUAAAGCCCAAUUGAAGAGAAGCUCGCAGGGGGAUGGAGUAGCAUGACCCGGUGACCCAGAUUUCCUAUGACUUGCGUCAUUCACAAUCUCUCCCCACCAAGUACUACGACAACGACACGUAUCUGGAAUAGAGAGAGAGAGAGAGAGAGAGAGAGAAAGAGGAUGGGUGAAAAGAGGAUGAGAUGAGAUUGGGCGAGUGAGCGGGUGAGAGUGCAUGUAUCCUCUACCUCCGAGUAACCUCCGAUUUCGGUUAACCACUUUCGGUCUUCUUUCAAGGACGGCUAACAUACAGCUCCCGCUGAUCGGAAAACGUGAUCGAAUUCAUUGAUAAAACGAGUGAGUUGAUCGUUCGCGCGCUAACAAACAGUGUGUCGAGUUUGUGUCGAUUAUUACAACUUGAUUUGAAAAGUAUUCUUAUUCGAAACGGUAAACAAUUGUUUCCUCUUCGAAUGAAAAUGUUCCAUCCCUCUCUUCCUCUAUCUUUUUCGUCGAUGUUCUUUUCUUAUGAAGAGAGAGAGAGAGAGAUGGUGUCAUCGAGAUACAAAACCUUCCCUCUUAAGGAUUGAUGUCGUUGCACUUGUGCCAAAAUAUCCAAGGCCCAUGGUGUGCUGUUGCCUGGCAACCAUCUUGGGUCAAUGGAAUACGCGGUUCAUGGGAGAAACUGGGUCAACCCACGAGAUGUUCUAGGGGGUGUCUCCUUAAGUUGUUCCUCCUCGUGGUGAAAAGAUACUCGCGGUACUCUACGUACCCUCGUUCGGUAACCAAGCUUGCGAUAUAUAUUCUUUGUGUAAUAAUUUUCUCACGAAGGUAAGCUGUUAAAAAUUGUAUAAAAUUUUUUUUUAUUCUCUCUUUCUUCUCUUUUUCUUUAUUAAAGUCGCAAAUUUUAAUUCGAAGAACACGUUCUUUCCUUCUUUUUUGAAAAAUUUUGUUCUCGAAUUUUCAUGUGAACGUGAAUAUCUCUCCAUACGAGUUACGUCGAGUUAAAUGGAAAGAAAAAUUGCGAGCAAUAAAUGUCAACGGAUAAAGCGAGGUAUAGAAAAAUCACGCAUCGUUGAAAAUCUUGAACAAGCCGCCCUUGGCUUACCUUCUACUGACCCGAAUACCUAUAUAUUAGGUGGCGUGCCUAUUUAUAGAACCACCCCCGAUGAACGACCCCAACAAGCGCGACGUAAAGAAGCCCCGCUCUAAACAACGAAGAAACAAUAUUAUUGCCUUUUCCUUUACUCACUAUCGACAUUCGUUGGAGUAAAUUAGCUUUAUAUAUAUAUAUAUAGCUUUAAUUUCAGAUUUCAUUAAAAAAGAAAAAGAAAUUUCACGAUUGCUCGCGUGAAACUCAAUGAAAACCGGGCACCAGUCGGUUCACCAUUGGUUCAUUUUUAAAAGGCUAACGGAUCUAUUGCUGUACUGUUCCACUGUGCUGUGUCAAUUGACCUUUAAAACAUGCUUACACGCUCGAAUUAUUUAAACGCAAGUUUGAAAUUUCACGUCUCGGCAUAGUACAAAGCUGUUAAAUAUUAACACCAAUUUUUGUUUCGCGUUAAAUUUUGCAUGAUAACGUUUCCCUUCCCCCUCCCCUCCCAUCGAUUUUUUACUUCUUUUUUUUUUUAUCCCAGUUUAUCGUUGUUACCCACCAUUUUUCUUUAUAGCUGUUUAAAAGUUCAGUGCCCGGAUAUAAUCGAGUUUUCCCCUGACGUCAUCGAAUAUAUAUCCCGUCCACGUCAUUAACGCGACAUUAUCGCUGGCGUAAAGAUUUUUAAUAUUAAUACUUUGUUAUAACUGCAUGAUCGGUUCACUGUUAAUGAUUUAAUGUCAGAUUCUACGGGGGGAGGGGAAAAAAGAAAAAGAAAGAACAGAGAAAAGAAAAGAGGGAAAAAAAAAAAACUACAACGUCCUCUUCGAUUGUGCUCGACAGACACGAGUUGAAAAUCGAAUCACGGGGUAAAGGAAACGUGUACGUAGGAAAAUACGUGGCGAAAGAGAUGCAAGGAUACCGAGGAUAAGUAAUAGGAAAACUGCAAUACCAAGGUAGGUCGAUAAGAGCAUGGCGCAUCGGUAACCGUGGUGGGUAGGGUUGGUAAGGGAAACAGGUGGUUUGAUGACCAUUGGUAAAAGUGGUACGAACCGGUUAAGAGCGUGGCAGGAUGGUUUCGUGUCCGGGCUGCGAAAAGUUAUGUUACUCGAAAGGAAAAGAGCGGCCGAUGCGCAGUGGUGUCUGACCGAGCACAAGACACUUCUACUGCGAACCAUUGCCCUACUAAACGCAUGUAAUGCCUUUGAACGCUGUAGUGCGUUUUCACUCGGAUCGAAUCCGAGGAAAUCCGAGCAAAGUUCGUUCGACAAAUAUUCUGCCAUUUGAAAGAUCGAAAUGAUGAAAAACAAAAACAAACUUGUUUUUUUAAUCGUCUAAGAAAACGCAUCGUUAAACCUUGGAACGUGAAAGCGCAUUUUCGAAUGAAAAAUCCAUUACGCGAGAUUAGUUCCAACGUGCUCUGAACAUUCAGGAUUUUGUAAUAAAUUACAUUUUCCACAUCUGUGUUGUAACCAUGUGAUACCGUUCCAUUACAAAUAUUAAUUUCACUCGAGAAACAUUCCCCCGUUUACGUUUUAAAUUUAAAAUAUAUUUAUGCGAUAUUAAAAGUAUUGUUCCAAGUAUUAUUCCAAUCGAGAUGUUUAAAUGUUACCGUGGUGGACUAAAAAAAAAAAAGAAAAAAACAAAAGAAAGAAAGAAAUAAAGCACCCUUGUAAAAUUUGUAAAUAUCAAACAACUCGAUUAGUAUUUCCCAAGCAUACCAGAUGGCAGGUUAAACUUUGAGAAACCGACGAGUUAUUUUGGCAAACGCAUCGUACAUGAUCGGUGUACCGUAAACGUUUGUUUAUCAUUCCCGUAAAUGCAAACCUUUGAACGUCGUGUGUCGUGAUAAAAUGGAACAAUCGAAAUUUAAAUGCAAAAUCGUGUGAAAUUGGGAUGUCGUGACGCCAGCCGCCGUCGGAUAAGUGCUACACCACCGAAGAUCGAGGCUAUCUACCGGUAUAAACAACAUUUCAAAAUAUCAAAUUUAACGCAUAGAUUUAGAUUUUUUUUUCCCCCCUCCCUUGUGGCAACAAUUUUCACUCGCCCGUUCAAAAAAAUUACUUAUCAAAUUUUGAUUGAAUUAUGGAAACGAUACAACCAACAAUCCAUUGAAUAUAUGUAUAAAAAAAAAGGCUUUCCUUUGCACUGAUCAUAUUACAGAUUUCUCAUAAAUUUCAAUUACAUCGAAUAUAAUUUAUCACGAUACAUAUGUACGCAUGAAUCAUUUCGUAAUGAAUUCAAGUACAAAUUGAUUAGAUUAUUGGCCGCUGUUAUUAAUAUGAAUUAUAAUAUGAAUCAUUUCUCAAACAAACUACCGUCUUCUUUGCAAUCUUGUAAAAUUGACAAUAGAUGAGUUAUCGAUAAGAUUAAUUACAUUUUACAAAUAAAAUUAAAUAUCUUUAAUUAAUUGUAAUCUACAAUGCAAAGUUAUACAACUAGAAUCUAUAUAAUUACAUGUAACGUGUAUCAAAUCAUCAUUAUAAUUGUCUUUCAAAGGAAAUAUAAAAUGACAAAUAAUAUUAUACGUGUACAAUAUGUUUCAAUCAUUGGUUCUUAAUUGGUAAACAUAAAAGUGUUAAUAUUUAUUGUAUCUACAUCUUCUUGCAAUUCAUUAAUACAACUUUUGCUACAUAUUUCUCUUUAAAUUCUCUUUAGAUUUUCAAUUUAUUUAAAUCCUAUAAAGAAAAAGAAAAAUAUAUAUUUUUACAUAUAACAUGUUGAUGUUGUAAUUGAACAAUUUAAAUUCUCUUUUCGACAAUGAGAGAAGUUAUUAUUUUUUUUUUUAUCCAAAAUCAUUAUACAUAAUUAUAUGCAGGCCAGCAUCACGAUAUUUUGAAAAGCUGGAAGUCAUAAAAACGAACAACGGAAUCUCGUUAGAACCAAAAAAAUUGUAAUUCACAGAAGAACUCUAUUUUUCUACGCCAAUGAGAUUGACAAGGCUUCGCGUGGGGUGGAUGAGAUUAAUCCCGUUUACCUCAAGCAGAUUUAGGGCUUCUUAUGCAACUUUAUGUGCGUAUAUUCGUAUGCAACUAACAAUAAGCCCAAGUACACGUAUGAAAUGUCCUCUUCAACAUUAUCAAAUACGUAUUUCUUUUAAUCUGAUCUGAAAUGAAACUGAUUGAAUAUCCUGAUUGAAAUAUUUAAACGUUUCAUUUUAUGACCAUCGUUUCCCGUUCCAUUUGCUCCAGCUUAAGAAAAAAAUUAAAAACGAUUUUUCGUUGCUAAAAGAAGAUGUUGUAUGCAAUAAUUGACACGAGUCGAUCGUCGAAUUAUCCAUUGUACAUCGUUAAGAAAAGAAAUUAGGAUUAAGUUGUUAAAUGGGGGAGCGUUGUUGUAACAAAGUUGAAUUACCGUAUCCGUUUGAUUAUUAUCCAAGUGUAAGAAGAAAAACUUAAAUGUCAGGUGUCUGCAGAAGGACACGGUUUGAAAUCCUAACUGAUGUCCAACCCUUCUGACACGUAAUACCAAUCUGACACAACGCGCUUACCUGUCCACGGACUAUAUCGCGUGACAAAUUUUUCACACAGUGGCGCCAGAUAUAUCACGAUCAAAAACGUGCAAGGC